Molecule: long non-coding RNA, 1739 nt
Organism: Bombus terrestris (buff-tailed bumblebee)
Lineage: Eukaryota; Metazoa; Arthropoda; Insecta; Hymenoptera; Apidae
Product: putative fatty acyl-CoA reductase CG5065
Exons: 8
Source: RefSeq, a predicted model, not a curated record
UGAGUAACGUCAAGGAAUGAAACCAAGCAUUUAAACAGAAAUCAAUCGUCAACAAUUAAUAUAGUCAAUCAUCUAGCAACUAGACUAACUUCGUACGAUAGUCCAAAACUGCGAUCGACAACACAUAUAAGCAAGGGCUGACAGUGUGACCAUCCAAAAACAUGGAUACAAUCCAUAAAAAAACGAGUAAAAAUGGGAUAAAUAAAGGAUUCAAUAAGGUGAAUACUCUCGAGGAAUUCUACGCUGGUAAUGGGAUCCUUGUGACUGGAGGAACCGGAUUCGUGGGAAUCGGUCUACUGGAAAAACUGAUACGCGUGUGUCCACGCGUCGCUGCUAUUUUUGUACUAAUUCGCCCAAAGACUAACGAAACCAUAGAACAACGAUUUAAGAAGCUCAUAGAUGAUCCUAUCUACGACGACAUAAAAGCAAAAUACCCCUCAGCAUUGAGCAGAGUUUAUCCCAUGAAAGGUGACGUGAGUCUGCCGGAUUUAGGUCUUUCGCGAGAAGAUAGAAAUCUGUUGUUGGAGAAAGUAAAUAUAGUGUUUCACGCCGCGGCCACUGUGAGAUUCGACGAACCGUUGCACGUGGCUGUUAAUGUGAAUACGAAUGGUACUGCUCGUGUCAUCGAGCUUUGGAACGAACUAAGGCAUCCAAUUAGCUUCGUUCACGUUAGCACAGCUUUUAGUAAUGCGAAUCUACAUGAGAUCGGGGAAAAAGUUUACACCACGAGCUUGAAACCUUCGGAAGUAAUAGAUAUGUGUGGCAAAUUCGACAAAACGUCAAUCAACCAAAUAGAAAAAAGAAUUUUAAAAACUUACCCAAACACAUACACAUUCAGUAAGAAUUUAGCAGAGCAGAUUGUAGCGAGCAAGUGCAAAGAUCAGCCAUUUGCGAUAGUACGGCCAAGCAUAAUUGGUGCCUCUUUGGAAGAACCAUGUCCUGGUUGGAUAGAGAAUAUUUCUGCAUUAACAAGUGUCAUGGUCCUAAUCAUGAGAGGAAGUGUAACAAUAAUACGGGGUAGGAAAGAUGCAAGAUUGGAUGUAGUACCUGUCGAUUUGGUAGUCGAUACGAUAAUCUGUGCCGCAUGGCAUGUUACGCUACAUCGUGACCGUGAAGUUAAAGUUUACAACUGCACGAGUAACGCUAAUCCUUUUAGGUGGGGUCAGAUGCAACAGCUCGUGUUGGAACAUGGCAGAGAAAUGCCACUGAACGAUACGCUAUGGUACCCGGGUUGUAUAAUGACAAAUAAUAAAUAUAUUUUUAACGCUCUGAGUGUAAUUCCGUAUGUUUUGCCUGCGUACAUCAUAGAUAUCUUUUUAAGACUCCGAGGUAGUAAACCAAUACUGAUGAAACUUCUAAAACUUGGCAACAAGCUGUUCACAUCGGUGACAUAUUUCACCAUGAACGAAUGGACUUUUCAAAGGGAUAACUGUUCCGACUUGGCGAGGAAGGUGAAAAUGUUGAGCGACAGCGAUAUGGUCAAACUAGAUAUGCGGGAUAUCGAUUGGGAGAAGUAUGUUACAAUUUACGUGAUGGGAAUUAGGAAAUUUAUUUUAAAACAAAAGUUUAAGUCAACAGCCCGACAACGAUUACUAAGGUUGUACUGGAUACAUCAGAUCACCAAAAUAUUCGGUAUAAUAAUUUUGCUAUGGAUAAUAUUAUAUUUAGUGUACUGACUAUUUGAAUGUUACUUUUUUCGCUUCGAACCAAGAACAAUAUAAAUAGAAUUUUAUAAAGAA